UCUUCGCCAGAGUCAUGAUUUGUUGAAACACCAUUAAACCGCCAUCACCAGCAAGAAUCGACACCACCUGACCUCCAUGAUACUGCACCAUUAAAACCUCCCUCUUUAUUAUUCUCCUUCUUCUUUUUCUAAUCUUCAAUUUUGCUGUAACCCUAGUUUUCAAUUCGCCACAGACGAAACAGACAACCAAAUGGAUCAUUAAAAGGUUUCUGUUGCACUCUUCGAUUCAGUCAUUGGGGAUUCUUGAUCAUCAAAAAGUCAUUUGCAGAGGGUAUUCAGUAAGACAUUUCAAGUCAGACUCCAAACCAUCUUUUUCUUUUCUCCCUCACUCAUUUUCCUCCUCAAAACCCUUAAUGGCAUGUAAAAGAUUUUUCUUCACAGCCCUAAAGCAAAGAUUCUUUACAAAAAAAUUGUCCUUUAUCAUCACAUAAUGUUGUGUUUUCUUCUCCUUCAAUUAUAUUACCACCAAAACCAUUUUAUGAUUGGGGAAGAAGAAGUUUGAGUGACCUCGCUGACCUUGCUUUUCAAGGGGGUUUUCCUUAUGUUAAAGGAAUAUGUGAAGAGGGACUUGCAGAAAAAUACAUUGAUGCAUGGAACAAGACCGAACAAUGGUCAAUGAUCACUUUGCUUUUUGAGAAUUGGAAUGAGAGCAAUACAGCCAGUUUGAAUUCAUAUGACCACUAUUUAAGGGCGAACAUCAGAUGGUGCUUCGAUUGGAGAUCUUAUGGCAAUUAUUGAGCAUAUGAUUGAGCUGAACAUUGAACCAACCACGGCAUCAUACAACAUCAUUUUACAAGCUAUGUUUGAAUCGAAGGAUACUUCAGGUGUUGAGAAAUUGGUUACUAGAAUGGAGAAAACAGAAGAGUCGAUGCUUGAUGAUGAAUCAUAUGCGUUGAUUGCUGAGCUAUUUCUUGCAGCAGAUCAAAUUGAUAACGCCUGUCUAUGCAUAUACGUAGCUGUGAGAUCUGGCUGCAUGGUCCCAAUGCCAGUGUUUACCGAGUGUGUGAUUUGUGCUGUCCACCUAAAAAGAUUUGAUUUGUUGACAAGCAUUCUUCAAAAGUUCAUGAGGCUUUAGACGAGCAGAGAGCUCUACGCCUUCCAUGGGGCAUGUGUACCUUCAUCCUCGAGGCUUCUAUGAAAGAGGAUCAUACCAUGUUAACUUCGUGCAUAUUGGAAUAUUUAGAGCACAAGUAUAAUCUUCAGGAGUCAAUAGGUCGAAAGAAGGUCCUAAGUGCCGAAUAUUAUCUUGUCAAGAUCUAUGGUUAUUCAUCUUUAAAAGAGUUUGAAAAAGCUAUUACUACUCUUAAGGAGCUUGAGUCUUAAGUAUGGUGGUUCUGAUGAAAAUUUGUUCUGUCCCUUUACUUCUUUAUCCCCUCUUGUUAUCGCCUUAUCCAAGGGUGGUGUUGGGACAUUGGACUCGGUAUAUCAUCUAUUAGAGAAUCUAGGCCGAGCAAAGCCUUCUUAUAAAUCCGUUGCAGCUCUGAACUGCUUAAUAUUAGGAUGUGGAUAUGUGCACGACGUCCACCGCGCCCAUCAAACAUUUGAAGCCAUCCGCAAAGUAUUUGGAUUAGAACCUGAUACGAAUUCAUCUAAAGCUUUGAUGCAUGCAUUUGACAUCAUCAAAAUGACAUUCGCUGCUAUUAGAAGUGAAUUUAGAUUGACACCGGACGAUUGUUUACAUAGAGCUCACAUGCAUGCAUUUGGGGGGUCCACAACGGUGAAUAGUCUAAGGCUACCCAAAUCAAGUUGGAGAUCUGCGAGUGGAGUUGUCACAAAAUGAAGACGCUGAAAUCAUGCCACUGAAGGUGCAAGUCCAAGCCAUGACUCCUGCCUCGACUCUAAAAUUGUAACAGCAAUUAGCAAGGUUCCUUGUAGUUAACCAGGAUUCCGAAGAAGGGUUUCAUUUGCAAACUAUUUAGUUAACCAGGCACUUCAUCUUGCCUCUUAACAAUUGUGGAAAGUGAGAGCUUUCGAAUAGUAGGAUAGAAUAUGUUUUCAUACCUCUUAAUAGUUUUAUGGGACCAAUUUAUGUCUAGUGUUUUGGUACUGCAAUAACGUCUGUUGUGUUACUGUUCUGCUUUUAAAGAAAAUGAUGAUAGUUAUAAUAUGAA
This is a long non-coding RNA of Papaver somniferum (opium poppy), 2111 nucleotides long. RefSeq lists it as uncharacterized. The record is from RefSeq and is a predicted model, not a curated record. The transcript has 9 exons. Lineage: Eukaryota; Viridiplantae; Streptophyta; Magnoliopsida; Ranunculales; Papaveraceae.